RNAcentral lists this transfer RNA (77 nucleotides) under Nitrospirae bacterium RBG_16_43_8. RNAcentral's name for it is "tRNA-Pro". It matches the Rfam family "tRNA". From Rfam's summary of the family: Transfer RNA (tRNA) molecules are approximately 80 nucleotides in length. Their secondary structure includes four short double-helical elements and three loops (D, anti-codon, and T loops). Further hydrogen bonds mediate the characteristic L-shaped molecular structure. tRNAs have two regions of fundamental functional importance: the anti-codon, which is responsible for specific mRNA codon recognition, and the 3' end, to which the tRNAs corresponding amino acid is attached (by aminoacyl-tRNA synthetases). tRNAs cope with the degeneracy of the genetic code in two manners: having more than one tRNA (with a specific anti-codon) for a particular amino acid; and 'wobble' base-pairing, i.e. permitting non-standard base-pairing at the 3rd anti-codon position. The record is from RNAcentral. RNAcentral also lists the same sequence under 18 other names. Lineage: Bacteria; Pseudomonadati; Nitrospirota.
CGGGGCGUAGCGCAGCCUGGUAGCGCGCCUGCUUUGGGAGCAGGAUGCCGGAGGUUCGAAUCCUCUCGCCCCGACCA